AGGACGAACGCUGGCGGCGUGCUUAACACAUGCAAGUCGAGCGGAAAGGCCCUUCGGGGUACUCGAGCGGCGAACGGGUGAGUAACACGUGAGCAACCUGCCCCUGGCUCUGGGAUAGCCUCCGGAAACGGGGAUUAAUACCGGACAUGACCUCUGACCGCAUGGUUGGGGGUGGAAAGUUUUUCGGCCAGGGUGGGCUCGCGGCCUAUCAGCUUGUUGGGGGGGUGACGGCCCACCAAGGCGACGACGGGUAGCCGGCCUGAGACGGGCGACCGGCCAACGACUGGGACUGAGACACGGCCCAGACUCCUACGGGAGGCAGCAGUGGGGAAUAUUGCGCAAUGGGCGGAAGCCUGACGCAGCGACGCCGCGUGCGGGAUGAAGGCCUUCGGGUUGCAAACCGCUUUCACCAGGGGCGAAGCGAGAGUGACGGUACCUGGGGAAGAAGCGCCGGCUAACUACGUGCCAGCAGCCGC
RNAcentral lists this ribosomal RNA (476 nucleotides) under uncultured bacterium. Its description in RNAcentral is "SSU rRNA". It matches the Rfam family "Bacterial small subunit ribosomal RNA", at positions 26 to 518 of the family's 1533-position model. The record is from RNAcentral.